GACUUGCUCCCGGCGCCGAAGCCAGUCGCAGAUACCAGCUGGCUGCAACUGUUUAAUAAAAACACAGCACUGUGCAAACACGAAAGUGGACGUAUACGGUGUGACGCCUGCCCGGUGCUGGAAGGUUAAUUGAUGGGGUCAGCCGCAAGGCGAAGCUCUUGAUCGAAGCCCCAGUAAACGGCGGCCGUAACUAUAACGGUCCUAAGGUAGCGAAAUUCCUUGUCGGGUAAGUUCCGACCUGCACGAAUGGCGUAAUGAUGGCCAGGCUGUCUCCACCCGAGACUCAGUGAAAUUGAACUCGCUGUGAAGAUGCAGUGUACCCGCGGCAAGACGGAAAGACCCCGUGAACCUUUACUAUAGCUUGACACUGAACAUUGAGCCUUGAUGUGUAGGAUAGGUGGGAGGCAUAGAAGUGUGGACGCCAGUCUGCAUGGAGCCAACCUUGAAAUACCACCCUUUAAUGUUUGAUGUUCUAACUCGGCCCCGUAAUCCGGGGUGAGGACAGUGUCUGGUGGGUAGUUUGACUGGGGCGGUCUCCUCCCAAAGAGUAACGGAGGAGCACGAAGGUUAGCUAAUCACGGUCGGACAUCGUGAGGUUAGUGCAAAGGCAUAAGCUAGCUUGACUGCGAGAGUGACGGCUCGAGCAGGUACGAAAGUAGGUCUUAGUGAUCCGGUGGUUCUGAAUGGAAGGGCCAUCGCUCAACGGAUAAAAGGUACUCCGGGGAUAACAGGCUGAUACCGCCCAAGAGUUCAUAUCGACGGCGGUGUUUGGCACCUCGAUGUCGGCUCAUCACAUCCUGGGGCUGAAGUAGGUCCCAAGGGUAUGGCUGUUCGCCAUUUAAAGUGGUACGCGAGCUGGGUUUAGAACGUCGUGAGACAGUUCGGUCCCUAUCUGCCGUGGGCGUUGGAAGAUUGAGAGGGGCUGCUCCUAGUACGAGAGGACCGGAGUGGACGAAUCACUGGUGUUCGGGUUGUCAUGCCAAUGGCAUUGCCCGGUAGCUAAAUUCGGAAGAGAUAACCGCUGAAAGCAUCUAAGCGGGAAACUUGCCUCGAGAUGAGUCUUCCCUGGGGCUUUAAGCCCCCUGAAGGAACGUUAAAGACGAUGACGUUGAUAGGCUGGGUGUGUAAGUGCAGCGAUGCAUUGAGCUAACCAGUACUAAUGAACCGUGAGGCUUAACCUU
This 1181-nucleotide ribosomal RNA is filed under the name Yersinia enterocolitica. Its description in RNAcentral is "partial 23S ribosomal RNA". It matches the Rfam family "Bacterial large subunit ribosomal RNA", at positions 1749 to 2925 of the family's 2925-position model. Lineage: Bacteria; Pseudomonadati; Pseudomonadota; Gammaproteobacteria; Enterobacterales; Yersiniaceae. The record is from RNAcentral.